GACUCAGUGAAAUGAGGCCCCUCGGUGUAAAAUGCAGCUAAAAUGACAAUUCUCUGGCCUGCAGCUCCUCACUGCACUCCUGAGCUGGCCCAGAGUCAGGUUUUUCUGAGGGAAGAAAUCUCUAGUGUGUCAAAUCCUUUUAAUUAUGCCCUGAUGAAGUGAAUUAAAUUAGUUGGCCUUUUGCUUGAGUCAGUGGAAGCUGCUCCAGUCAGUGGGGCUGGAGGUGGGUCUGUUCCACUUCCCAGGUGAGGGACAGUGAUUAAUUCACUUUUCUAGGACUAAAGAGUCAUUAGUUAAGCCAGAACUAAAAGGUCAUUAAUUAAGCUGGAGCAGAGGAGUUCAUUAGCCCAUGGGAGUGCAGAGCUCUGACCUGCUUCCCUCCCUGUGAUGAGUCUUUUGGGGGCAUUGGGAAGUUUGGGGGGCUCAGUUUGUGCUUGGAAGGGGAGGUUGGGUCGGGAGCUUGGGCUUGGAAAGGCAGGUUGGCUCUGGGUGACUUGGUUUGGAUGUGGAAGGUGAAGUUGGGUCUGGAGUUUGGGCUUGGGGGACUUGGUUGGGUCUGGGUGGGCUUGAAAGGGGAGGUUGGCUCUGGGUGGCUCAGUUUGGGGGGUGUGGAAGGCGAGGUUGGCUCUGGGUGGCUCAGUCUGGAUUUCGAAGGUCAGGUUGGCUCUGGGUGGCUCAAUUUGGAUGUGGAAGGAGAUGUUGGGUCUGGGUGGCUCAGUUUGGGGGUUGUGGAAGGAGCUGUUGGGUCCAGGUGGCUCAGUCUGGAUUUGGAAGGUGAGGUUGGGUCUGGGUGGCUCAGUCUGGAUUUGGAAGGCGAGGUUGGCUCUGGGUGGCUCAGUUUGGACAUGGAAGGAUAUGUUGGCUCUGGGUGGCUCAGUCUGGGUGUGGAAGGCGAGGUUGGCUCUGGGUGGCUCAGUCUGGAUUUGGAAGGAGAUGUUGGCUCUGGGUGGCUCAGUUUGGCCGUGGAAGGCGAGGUUGGCUCUGGGUGGCUCAGUCUGGAUUUGGAAGGCGAGGUUGGGUCUGGGUGGCUCAGUUUGGACAUGGAAGGAUAUGUUGGCUCUGGGUGGCUCAGUCUGGGUGUGGAAGGUGAGGUUGGCUCUGGGUGGCUGUGGCUGGAGCAGGGCUCAGUCUGGGUGCUGAGAGGACCAGCCCAGCUGUG
Lepidothrix coronata (blue-crowned manakin) is the source of this 1159-nucleotide long non-coding RNA. RefSeq lists it as uncharacterized. The record is from RefSeq and is a predicted model, not a curated record. The transcript is spliced from 3 exons. Lineage: Eukaryota; Metazoa; Chordata; Aves; Passeriformes; Pipridae.